Molecule: ribosomal RNA, 253 nt
Filed under: uncultured bacterium
Lineage: Bacteria
Description: partial 16S ribosomal RNA
Rfam family: Bacterial small subunit ribosomal RNA
Source: RNAcentral
UACAGAGGAGCCAAGCGUUGUCCGGAUUGACUGGGCGUAAAGCGCACGCAGGCGGACGCGCGCGUGGGGUGUGAAAUCUGGCCGCUUAACGGCCAGGCGCCAUCCCAUACGGCGCGUCUGGAGCCAUGCAGAGGGCGGUGGAAUUGCCGGUGUAGUGGUGAAAUGCGUAGAGAUCGGCAGGAACACCCAGGGGGAAACCAGCCGCCUGGGCAUGCGCCGACGCUGAGGUGCGAGAGCGUGGGGAGCGAACCGG